RNAcentral lists this ribosomal RNA (495 nucleotides) under uncultured bacterium. RNAcentral's name for it is "partial 16S ribosomal RNA". It matches the Rfam family "Bacterial small subunit ribosomal RNA", at positions 28 to 507 of the family's 1533-position model. The record is from RNAcentral.
GAUGAGCGCUGGCGGCGUGCCUAAUACAUGCAAGUAGAACGCUGAAGGAGGAGCUUGCUCUUCUGGAUGAGUUGCGAACGGGUGAGUAACGCGUAGGUAACCUGCCUGGUAGCGGGGGAUAACUAUUGGAAACGAUAGCUAAUACCGCAUGACAACAGUUAUUGCAUGAUAACUGUUUAAAAGGGGCAACUGCUCCACUACCAGAUGGACCUGCGUUGUAUUAGCUAGUUGGUGAGGUAACGGCUCACCAAGGCGACGAUACAUAGCCGACCUGAGAGGGUGGACGGCCAAACUGGGACUGAGACACGGCCCAGGCCUCUUCGGGAAGGAGCCGUAGGGAAUCUUUGGCAAUGGGGGGAAGUCUUACCGAGGAACGCCGCGGGGGGGAAGGAGGGUUUCGGAUCGUAAAACUCUGUUGUAAGGGAAGAACGAGUGGGAGAGUGGAAAGUUCACGCUGUGACGGUAUCUUACCAGAAAGCGACGGCUAACUACGUG